CCUACGGGUGGCAGCAGUGGGGAAUAUUGCACAAUGGGGGAAACCCUGAUGCAGCGACGCCGCGUGAGUGAGGAAGUAUCUCGGUAUGUAAAGCUCUAUCAGCAGGGAAGAAAAUGACGGUACGUGACUAAGAAGCCCCGUCUAACUACGUUCCAGCAGCCGCGGGUAGACGGAGGGGGCAAGCGUUAGCCGGAUUUACUUGGUGUAAAGGGAGAGUAGACGGAUAAUCAAGUCAGGAGUGAAAACCCAGGGCUCAACCUUGGAACUGCUUUUGAAACUGAGUAGCUAGAGUGCAGGAGAGGUAAGCGGAAUUCCUAGUGUAGCGGUGAAAUGCGUAGAUAUUAGGAGGAACACCAGUGGCGAAGGCGGCUUACUGGACUGUAACUGACGUUGAGGCUCGAAAGCGUGGGGAGCAAACAGGAUUAGAUACCCGUGUAGUC
This 440-nucleotide ribosomal RNA is filed under the name uncultured bacterium. Its description in RNAcentral is "partial 16S ribosomal RNA". It matches the Rfam family "Bacterial small subunit ribosomal RNA", at positions 338 to 795 of the family's 1533-position model. The record is from RNAcentral.